CAGCCAUGGUGUGAAUGCGUCCCUUAGACAGGUUCCUUUUCAGGGUUGUUAAGUCCAUGGGUCUGCAGGAGCAAGAGGAAAUCAAACCUUGAUGAACUGAAGGCUGAGGCAGGAAGUUAUCACGAGUUUGAGGACAGCUUGAGCUACACAGCUUCAGAAAUGGACUGCUGAACCUGUUAAGAAAUAAACCCAAAGAGGAUAAAGAAACCCUGGCGGAUCACUCUAAAGGAGAAGGGUGGCUCAUAACAAGAAUACUUCAAACUACAGUGUAAAUGAGGGUUUCAUGUAGACCAGCUGGCUUUGAACUAGCUACGUAACUGAAGAUGACCCUGAACUCCUGAUUCUCCUUUCUCCAUAUUCCAGAACACUUGAGUUAUAGGCUGAUGCCACCAUGCUGGAAGUGGCGAUAUUUGAAGUAGAUACUUGCUGAACUUGAUGUACAUUCUCUUGAAUAUUUUCAGCUGCAGAAUAAAUAUAAAUUCACUGUUCCAAUCUGUUGGUCCUCAGCCCUUAACCAAGGUCUUCAGCCUCUGCAUCUGGAGCCUCAGUUUCCCUCCAGCUGCCCACAUCAAGGUCCAGACUGGAGUCCCAGGAGCUGAAGAGGGAUCUGUAGUCAUUGCUCAGCUCAGAGUCAUCGGGAUAGUCUUGUCCAGAAUCCAACCAAACCCACUCACACCCCAUCUGUAAACAUAUAGAAAAAUGCAUUAAAUUAACGCAAAUAAAAACAAAACAAAUUAAUUCAAAUAAACACUCUCAAUACACCCCUAUCUUUCAAGUUCAUAGAAAGAGUCCAGAAAUUUCUAUUCAUUAGGAGGCAUAAGAGCCAGCUAAAGGGAUACAUUAGAUGAAAUUUUUAUCUUUUGGAUUAA
Peromyscus eremicus (cactus mouse) is the source of this 869-nucleotide long non-coding RNA. RefSeq lists it as uncharacterized. Lineage: Eukaryota; Metazoa; Chordata; Mammalia; Rodentia; Cricetidae. The transcript has 5 exons. The record is from RefSeq and is a predicted model, not a curated record.